AGGGCUUGGCCAGUAGUGGCGCGAUUUUCAAUUAAUGUUAUGUGACAAUGGCGGACUCAGGUGUAAUUAGUUCCGGACACGAAAACUCUGUAAAAUCUCUAUUUCAAUGCCUGUUUGAGAAGAGAACUUUGGCAGAAAAACUGAAGGUAAAAGAACUGGGUCCAGAUCAGCCUGACCUCUUAAUCAGACAGCAGACAAGCGAAAAGGGGUCGACGUACACGCGAAGCUACUCUUCACGUUGGUACACCAAAAAGGCCUGGCUAUGUGUGUGCGUUUCUGCUAAUGCCUUAUUUUGCUUUCCGUGCUUGCUGUUUAAAACAACUGGGGCAGAUACAGCAUGGACAGUUACGGGAGUGAGAGAUAUGAAGCACCUUUCUGAAAAAAUAAGAAAACAUGAGAACACCAGGGCACACAUGGAUAAUUCUGUCAAACUAGCCAUUUUGGGAAGAGUGAACAUCGCUACUCAGUUAGAUGACGGCCACAGGAUUGCGAUAAGAAAACACAAUGCGGAGGUGGAUAAAAACCGGCAUAUUUUAUCCAAGAUAAUUGAUUGUGUUAAGUUUUGUGGGGAUUUUGAGUUGGCCUUGCGUGGGCACGACGAAACUGACUCGUCAGACAACCCUGGUAUUUUUAGGGGUUUAGUGGAUUUUGUUGCCUCACUAGACAAUGUACUAGAGGAGCACCUUAAGACAGCAAUCGUUUUUAAGGGCACAUCGAAGACGGUACAAAAUGAACUGUUGGACUCCAUGCUAUCAGUAAUAAAGGAUUACAUUCUAGAGGAAGUAACUGCAGCUGAUUUUAUCGCCAUUCAAGCUGACGAGACGACUGACGUCUCCACCCGCUGUCAGCUGGUGCUUGUGCUACGUUACAUGGAUUCUAAUAAUAAUAUCCAAGAGCGUUUUUUUGAGUUCUUGACCAUUCAGAACGCAAACGCCGAGUCCAUCGCUACAGCACUUCUGGACAGGCUAAGUACCAUACUACCAAAUGGACAAAAUAACAAAGUAAUUGCCCAAACUUAUGACGGGGCUACUGUAAUGAGAGGAAGCACCGGCGGAGUGCAGCGAAAGAUAAUAGAUGUGUACAAAAAUGCUCACUACGUUCACUGUUAUGUGCAUCAGCUGAACCUCAUCAUACAGCAGGCGACAUCACACAUCCCCAGAAUUGGAACUUUUUUUUCUGACCUUGGUGGAUUUUCUGCCUUCUUCUCCAGGUCACAUAAGUGAAUCGCCGUGCUUGACCAAGUGGAUGCGCACAGACUUCCCAGAGCCUCUACAACACGUUGGAACUUUCAAAGUCGUGCUGUAAACACUGUGUACGAACAAAAGGAUGACCUUUUAAAAUGUUUUCAGAUCAUCAGAGACUCAGGGAACUUUGAUAACUCAACUGUCAGAGAGGCAGGGGGUUUUGCGAGGAUGCUUGAAGACGAGGCUUUCUGUUUUUUCCUUGCAUUGUUUCACAAGAUCAUGCCAAAUGUAGACAUGCUAUUCAACCAGCUGCAGAAGAGGAACAUCGACCCUGUCUACAUUAAAGCAGCUGUCCAGGGAUUCACAAACAACAUGCAAGCAAUCAGGGACUCAAUCCCCUUUCUCUGUGGGGACAGUGCAUCAUCUGACCAGCAGCACCAGCCCAAAAAGCAACAGAGGACACUGGGACCAGGAGAACAACAGAGGCUAGCUACAGAGGUAUGUGAUACCAUCCUGAUUCAUACCAAGGAGCGGUUCUCCUUUACCCAGCACCUCGUCAGUGCAACAUUGCUGCAUGGAGAAUUGUUUCCACAACACAGUGUGACGUUUCCGGAAUUUGAACUUGAAACAACAGUGGAGGCAUACCCCAUGCUGAACAAGGCCAAGCUCAAAACAGAACUGUCCCUCAUCUAUGAGAACCCUGAGUUUAGGGUUAGCAGUGGUGCCGUGCCUCUGUCAGUCUUCUCAAGAUCAUAAUCACCACGCCUAUGACAACAGCAGAGUCAGAGAGGUGCUUUUCUACUUUGAAGAGGAUCAAGACUUUCCUAAGAAAUACAAUGACCCAGGAUCGCCUUAAUGCUUUGGCAAUGCUUUCGAUUGAGAAGAAACUCGUCAGAGACAUUCCUGACUUCAAUAAGAAAGUCAUUGAGAAAUUUGUCAAUCAGAAGGAGAGGAGAGCAAAAUUCCUGUACAAAUAAGUAAAUGCAGGUUUUUUCACCACAUUGAUUUUCUUGUACGUGGUUAUCUUCAGAGUCAUGGAAGUAUCCAGAACUUAACUGCGACUUGUAAAUUAACUGUUCAGAGAUGCUUUAACGAAUAAACAUGUGACCAGAUGUUCUUAAA
RNA transcript from Silurus meridionalis, 2306 nucleotides. RefSeq lists it as uncharacterized. The record is from RefSeq and is a predicted model, not a curated record. The transcript has 3 exons. NCBI's taxonomy places the organism in Eukaryota, Metazoa, Chordata, Actinopteri, Siluriformes, Siluridae.